AGUCCACUCAUUUCAGCACCUGCGACAUCAUUCGAACCCAUCACGCACCCUGGAACCUGUGCCCAAAUGUGCCCGUGGAGUCUGCUGCCCAGAGUGUUUUUCCAGCCCUGAAACAUCCCCUGUUACCCAGCCUACCUGCGUCUGUGAUGGCGGUGGGAACGGAAGCAGAACCUUUGUUUCAGUGGCAGAGAUGCUGGCCCCAGCAACCCGUGCUCCACUUGGACAGCAGGCAGCUGCCUCCCUCAGGCAAGCCAGCCUUCCCAGGGCGUCCUUUUUCUGUGCUUGACCUUGAGGCCCAGCUCUCGUGGGCACAGGGGCUGAGCCUCCUUUCAGCACCAGGGCAGGCCAGGGAGCUGCUUUUUAACAGGGUUUCGAUGGACCUGUCUUCUUCUUAAGAACUCCUGCUGCAGAAUUACAAUUGUGUCUCCGUCCCAGACUGAAUCCAGUGCUAAUGUAGCCAAAGAUGUUUUCUCUGAUCAAAGGAAGGAAGGCAAGGAGUCUUCCCCCUUGUCUGUGUGCCCUGCUGCUUCCUGACAGAUUGCUGUGUGCUCCUCCAGGGAUGGCCCUUAGCUGGGGAACCUCCUGUCCCUCACAGGAGGGAUUCCCCACAGCCCACGUUUGUGUCUGAAUGCCAGACCAUGACGACUUGUACAGAAACCCACCCAGUGGGCUGUGCAAGUCUGAGCUCCCCUGGUAUUUCUUGUGUGUGUGAGAGAGAGAGAGAAUUUGAAUUAACUAAUAAAUAAAGAAGAUAUUUUAUUCUCCACUUUGGCCGCUUCUGGAAUACUCGAGAUCCACAGCUUAGAACAGUGCCCACGGGCCGAGGAGGCAGGGCAGCAGCAGGCAGGCCUAGUGGAGAGGGAAAAGGCCUGUAUCUUACCAGCAGCUCCCGUCUCUGACCAGGGACUGCCUGCACACUAACGUGAUUCCGAGUGGUCUGGAGCGGAGGCCUUUGGCCAAGUGUGUGCGCGAGACCUCCGUCCAUCUGGCCCAGAGGACGCAGAAUCUGAUCCUACCAGCCCAUGGGCUCUGGUCCUGGGCCUUGGAUACCGGUAAAAGCCAUCCUCCAUUAAUUUUUGAAACAACCCAAAAUCAGAAUCGUCGCCAGGCCAAACACUGCACCAGUGGGUAGCUAGUGAAAGGCGGGCGAUGAGUCAGCCCUGGGGACCGCCCUGCCCUCCUGGGUCCUGCCUGGCCCGUCUCAUUCUGUCCUCGGCCUUCAGGCCGGCUCAUGCCCCUGCCCCAGGUCUGGGUCCUGGACAGAAGUUCCUGCUUGAGCUCCCCCCGGCAGACCAGGAAGGCUUCUGACGGCUCCAGAUGAAGUCAGCGGCAUGCCCGGGAAGGAGGGGGUGGGAAAAAAAAAGAAAAAGAAAAAAAAGGCGAAACCACAGGCUUUGUUCCAAAGUGGCAUGCAGAAGAUUUGGUGUAAUUAUUUUAAUUGGUAUGAGUGUUGGAGUAUUUCUCUCCACUCAACGUCAGGUACCUAAUUAUAUUUCCAUUGUGUGCUGAAGUCAAUAUUGUCAAGCUAUCCUCGGCGCUAAUCCUCCACAUUGAGGGUUGAUGGGCCGAGGGAAAUCCUGCCUUCAGCAGCUUGUUGUCAGGCCGUCAGUCAGCUCACCCUGGCAGCGGGGCCCCAGCAGGGCCCAAAGCAAACAGCACUCAGGGCUCCCAAGACAUGGAUGGGACCCUACUUGUCAGGGAACAAAGGAGAGUUCUUUCCUCCCUAAUGGGUAUAAUGAAACCCUUAAGACACGUCAAUAGAAAAGCCCGAGUAGUAGGCAGUGAACUCCCAGACUCAGGCAGACUCUCCAAUUAAGAUGCCAAACUGAUGGGGAGGCUAAGCCCACUGUCCCCCUCUUCCAAGUCAGAUAAUAAGAUUAUCAUGUCUCAUUUACCACAUGGCUAAAAAUACAUCGAGUGCCAAAGGGUUGGGGAGGGAGAGAAGGCCCGCUUCCAGCCACCCCCCUCCCAGAUAACACGGCCAGGCCAGCCCAGCCCUGUCAGAGAAGCCGCGGGCUCUUCCUGGCCUCAGAGGCAAAAGCCAGCUUGCAGAUUCCCACACCAGAACCCAGGGCAGCGUCCAGAGGGUGUCCGGCCCUGCCCUGGCACAAGCCACCACCAGCGGCAUGGGGAGGGGCCCUUUGGAGGGGCUGGGGGCAAGUUCUGUUGGGCCUUCCGGUCCCUGAGGGAUGGCCAUUUGUCACCGCUGUGAAAGUUCCGUUCACUUCUGAGCAGAAAGCACACCGAGGCCAGGGAUCCCCAGGGGGCUGUGGCCACGCAGAUGUGUUCCUGCCAGGGUCUGGCUUCCCCUGAGCCAUCCAGCAGAUCCCAGAGUCAUAGUCCAGGACUGGAAGGGACUUUGGACACCAUCGAGCCCAUCCCCCCUGUAUUUUACAGAUGAGGAAACUGAGGCCCUGGGAGAUGAAACUGUUUGCCCACAGUCACAUAGGUAACAAAAGACGAAGAUGUUAUUCGAACCCAGGUUCUUUGGCCUUUGUUUUUUGUUGUUGUUCUUUGACCUUUGAACCGAACUCUUUGCACCAUACUGCAAGGUCCGAGGACGAGUAAGAGCUGGGCCUCUCAGGCUGGAUUCACACAGAAGCGCCAUCCGCCAUCCUGAGUCCAGGCAGAUUGUCUCUGUCCCCUGUGAAUUGCACACAUUCAUCCGGUGUGGCGCCCCGUGGACCUGCAGUCACCACCUUCCUCUCCAGCCUCUCUCAGCAGUGACCUCAGACAAGCUAGCCAGCCAGCCUUUUCCACCUUCCAGUUCGAGCUGUGGACCAAAAGGCCCCUAGUGUACGUGUUAAUUAUAUGGGAGGGAGAGUGCCGAUCCCGGCCUCAGCAACGGCUGACACCAGCCUCGUCCAAAGGCCAUCUCCAGGUGGAACAAGCACCUCAUCCCUGGGAGCCCGGAGCUGGCCAGGAGGCUUCCUUCCAAAGCCUGGUUGCAUCAGUCACAAGUCUGAUGGGAAAAGUGGAUUCCCCCUGCGGGGGAAGGAGAAGCGGUGGAGACGGGGUCAUGUUGAGACAAGGUGCCUGCCUCGUUGCCAAGGGGGAGGCCUCGGAGCCCGCAGCCUGUCAGAGCUGGCAUCUUAGAGGAAAAUGUGAUCCCAACCCAAAGGGUUUGGUUUCAGCUGCGCUGGCUCGGCAGCGGGUGGAGACGCCUCCCCCAGCCGGCCCCUGAGAAUGGACCCCGGACUUCUGGGCCCAGGCAGCGGUUCCUGGGGCGCUCCCCAACCCCCGAGAGCUUAGCGAGGCCCUAGAGGCCGUUCCUCUCAUUUUAGAGGGGGAAACUGAGGCUCUGCCUGGGUGAGCCAGGCCCCGUGAGGCAGAGGGAGAGCCCGGGGCCCCUUGAUCUUUCCAUAAUGCCCCACCAAGUUGGAUGUGGGUGUCCACCAACCCCCUGCCUUGGCUUUCCAGAAGGUGCAGGGGCAGAAGCAUGACUCCUGGCCUUUGAAGGCCUCUGGUCCUUGGGUCACCUCGAGCGUGGGCUUGUUCAGAGACACCGAGGGCUGUGGGCGUGAAAGCAGGUGUGGGCAGCUCUAAGUCAAGGGUUCAAAUCCAGCCUCAGACACUUCCUAGCUGUGUGACCCUGGGAAGUCCCUUAACCUCUGUCUGCCUCAGU
Non-coding RNA from Phascolarctos cinereus (koala), 3625 nucleotides. The record is from RefSeq and is a predicted model, not a curated record. NCBI's taxonomy places the organism in Eukaryota, Metazoa, Chordata, Mammalia, Diprotodontia, Phascolarctidae.